Molecule: non-coding RNA, 69 nt
Organism: Apis mellifera (honey bee)
Lineage: Eukaryota; Metazoa; Arthropoda; Insecta; Hymenoptera; Apidae
Source: RefSeq, marked provisional
GAUGCUCGUUAAUAUCGCAGUGUUGAACGUGGCUAAGAUUAUAAAACACAGCGAGUUGCACGAGCACGU